AAAAUGUGCUAGGGGGGCCAGUAUAUGCUGGCUGAGAUAAGGGACUAUAUCCCUUGACUCUUAUACCUGAUCUGGUUAAUACCAGCGUAGGAAAGCGUUAAUAAUAUUAA
Molecule: non-coding RNA, 110 nt
Filed under: Oxobacter pfennigii
Lineage: Bacteria; Bacillati; Bacillota; Clostridia; Eubacteriales; Clostridiaceae
Description: TPP sequence
Rfam family: TPP riboswitch aptamer (THI element)
About the family: Vitamin B(1) in its active form thiamin pyrophosphate (TPP) is an essential coenzyme that is synthesised by coupling of pyrimidine and thiazole moieties in bacteria.
Source: Rfam by way of RNAcentral